Aethalodelphis obliquidens (Pacific white-sided dolphin) is the source of this 2872-nucleotide long non-coding RNA. RefSeq lists it as uncharacterized. NCBI's taxonomy places the organism in Eukaryota, Metazoa, Chordata, Mammalia, Artiodactyla, Delphinidae. The record is from RefSeq and is a predicted model, not a curated record. The transcript is spliced from 3 exons.
CGUGUGACAAUCAAAAAUGUAUGAUGUUGCCAAAUGUCCACUGGGUUAGGAACCAUUGAAAUGAGGCCAUGGCAAGGGUAUGGAUUUUAUUCUCUGUGUAAUUGGAGGGUUGAGAGCUAAGAAGUAACGUGACAUGAUUUACAUCUUUAAAAGGGCAGUGUGACUGCUGUUGGGUUAAAAGGCUGUGGGAAACAAGAGUGGAGGCAGGGAAUCCAGGAGGAGGUCCCUGUGUCGUCUGGCUGAGAGGUGAUAGUGGUUGGGACUAAGAGGCAGUAGUGGGAUGCUGAGAAGGGACUGGGUUCAGAACUUAUUUGGAAACCAGUGAGACUUGCUGGUGGAUUGAAUAUAAAAGGUGAUGAGGAAGGUCCAGUCAAGGAUGAUUUCUAGAUUUGGGGUCUGAGCAACUGGGAAUAAUGAUGUCAUUGUCUAAAAUGGGGAAGACUAAAAUAAGACUCAGAGAAAAGUAGUUCAGGGGUCAACAAUUCUCAACUUGAGAUGUCCAUUAGAUCUCCAAGUGGCCAUGACAGUAGAACAGAAGAGCCUGGAGCCCAGGGGAGAGUCCAGAUUGGAAAUAGACAUCCAGAAGGCGUAGCUCACCUUUAAUGCCUGGGGGAAAGAAAGGACCCUGGACUGAGCUCCAGGCACUCCAAUAUUUAGAGGUCAGAAGAAGGAAAAGCCAGCAAAGGAGACAGAGAAGAGGGUCAGUGAGAGAGAGGGGACAUUAGGAGAGCUUCUCAUCCCCGAGGCAUCGUGGCCUGGCAACCUCAUCCACCGUGGACUGUCCUCAGCCAGCUCACUGCCUAAGCGGGGAGCCCCUUGGGCGCUCAUUUGUGAUCAACACCAAGGACCACUAUAAAACUGGGUUUUGGACAACCCAAGGACUUGGCAGGGGUCACCUUGUUUAAUCUUUGCGCUAAGAAGUAAGUGCUACUAGUUCCAUAUCACAGCUGAGGAAACUGGAAAUCAGAGAGCUGCAGUAAUUUGCCCUCGAUCACAUGUGUUUUUCAACGCCACUCCUGGGCCUGGAGCCCUGGAGAGGCUGAUUCCACGUUCACACUUUUUCCACGGCACCCUUGGCCUCAGUCUCGCAGGGGCCCACUCAGUGCCUGGCACAGGCCUCCGUUCCCACCAUGGUGGGAACAGCUUGUUUCUGCCUAGGCUUGAAGUGCCUUCACAUCUGCUACUGCAUCUGAGACGGGCAGAUGGGAGCUGGGAUGGCUCAUGCAGGGUAAGUGACUGUCAAGGUUCCUCACCCAACUAAGGGCAGAGCCAGCACUGGCGCCAGGAGUCUCAUGGUCCUUGUCCAGGGCUCUCACGUCUUACCUCUUAUACCUACAGUCAAGGUAUCUUCCCAGCUGGCAGCCAUAUUCAAGGCAGCAGCCCCAUCUGGUAAUGCAGGGGCAAUAUUAUUAUUCUCAUUUUACUGAUUAAGAAACAGAGGCUCAGAGGGGUUCUGUGAUUUGCCCAAGUUACACAGCUAGGAAGAAGCUGAGCCAGAAAUAAAUCCUCAGUUUCCUAGCUCUCAGUAGUACUGAGUUGAAAUAAAUAACCUAUAUCUGACUUAACCAUUUUUCUUUCUUACAUAACAACUUUCCCAAUCCAUAAAAGAAAUAAGCCUCAGACAGGUUUGUGAAAUUUUCCCAAGCACAAGUAUUGCCAGUCCGAAUUCUGCAGUAGGUCCAUAAUCAUUUAAGAAGUGGAAAUGGGUAGAAGGAGGACAUUCUGUACACUGUGCCAACUUAAAAUUCCUUUCUUUCCCCUUAAUCAUAAAGGUGCUUUAAAAAUAAUCUUUGAAACAUAUUUGUUGCUUUAUUAAGCCUUCUACUUUCUGUCCCACUCUUUUUUAGAAAAAAUCAAAAUAAUACUUAAAAGCCCCACUCCCUAAAUAUUUUCUUUCAUUUCCAAGAUACAGAGAUGCUGACACAUGGGCAUGAAAUCUGGAGUCAGGCUUUGGUGUCUGACCUCCUGAAAAAGAAAAUGAAAACAUUUCUAAGUGUUCACACUUUCCCCGUGAGAGGACAGACACAAUACCCUUGAACCCAGAUGAAAAGAAAGAACCUAAAGGACACAUCUGAUCUGACAGGGCAGUGCAGUCACCAUCUAACAAUAAACGCCCGAGGAGAAGAACAAUGCGAGGGGUUGCUGAGGCUCUAUCACUCCACCAUCAAGAAGAGUGUUGUCUUUCUCAUUUCUGGGACUUCCGUUGGCCUCAGAAGACAGAGGGGGCAGAGAUACCCAGGAGAGCCCUAUUUUGGUUUCCAGCUGGGAACGUGCACUGAGUUUUCCUUAAUACCCAUAGCGCCCAAAGGCUUUGCAGUAAUACACUUUAAUGCAUGAAACACCCGUAAAUUAUCCUACAAACUGUUACAACUUCCAACCUGGAACAACUUGGAAAAACCAGCCUAGCAAGCAGGCUCUUUUUUAAUCUCUCAAGUCACAAGAGAAGAGAAAGUUCAAGCAGAAUACACCUUCCAUGAGAAUCUCAGAGGUUUUUUGGUUUUGGGGUUUUUUUUUGGAAAGAGAAAGGAGAGUUGUAAUCAGAAUGAAGCUGCUUGUUUCCGAUGGCUCAAAGAUGCCGCUCCUUGACCCCAAGUCCUCUCCCUCCCCUGGGUCUUUGUCGCUUGGACCCAAGGCGCUGCCCGCCCCACCCCUCCAUGCCAGCUUCUCCCACACCUGGCGGCAGAUAGCUGGAGGUGAGGCGUGAGACCCACGUAGCAGGACCUUCCAUGGAGGUCCCUUGGCGAGCAGGCUUCCCCUAUCAACCCCUGGGGCCCUCACUCGAGACUCCCAGCCCUCCAGCGACCCGCGGAGGAGCCCAGAGACCCUUGCUCCAUUCCCUGCACCAGGUCCAGAGCCCCCUGCCCAACUCGUC